This is a long non-coding RNA of Saccostrea echinata, 169 nucleotides long. RefSeq lists it as uncharacterized. The record is from RefSeq and is a predicted model, not a curated record. The transcript has 2 exons. NCBI's taxonomy places the organism in Eukaryota, Metazoa, Mollusca, Bivalvia, Ostreida, Ostreidae.
GCUUACAUCAGUAUGUAUCAGCGUAUGAAGUUUGACACUAAUUUAAGAAAAGUGAGGUCAAGGUCAAAGGAAAGGUCAAAAAAAUAUUGAUGCAGUUGAAUAGCUCUCAUCAGUAUGUAUCAGCAAAUGAAGUUUGACACUAACUUAAGAAAAGUGAGGUCAAAGUAAA